This 249-nucleotide unclassified non-coding RNA is filed under the name Lophiostomataceae sp. RNAcentral's name for it is "partial contains 5.8S ribosomal RNA, internal transcribed spacer 2, and large subunit ribosomal RNA". Lineage: Eukaryota; Fungi; Ascomycota; Dothideomycetes; Pleosporales; Lophiostomataceae. The record is from RNAcentral.
CGCACAUUGCGCCCUUUGGCAUUCCUUAGGGCAUGCCUGUUCGAGCGUCAUUUAGCACAUUCAAGCCCAGCUUGGUGAUGGGUGUCUGUCCCGCCUCUCGGGCGUGGACUCGCCUUAAAAACGGUUGGCAGCUUCAUCUUUCGGUCCUGAACGCAGCAGACUUGCGCCGGAACCCGCGGAAAGAGGCUCUCCAAUAAGCAAAAUGGUACGCUGGACCUCGGAUCAGGUAGGGAUACCCGCUGAACUUAA